RNAcentral lists this ribosomal RNA (545 nucleotides) under Plecotus macrobullaris macrobullaris. RNAcentral describes it as "partial 16S ribosomal RNA". It matches the Rfam family "Bacterial large subunit ribosomal RNA", at positions 1843 to 2610 of the family's 2925-position model. The record is from RNAcentral. Lineage: Eukaryota; Metazoa; Chordata; Mammalia; Chiroptera; Vespertilionidae.
GUAUUAGAGGCAUUGCCUGCCCAGUGACUCUAGUUAAACGGCCGCGGUAUCCUGACCGUGCAAAGGUAGCAUAAUCAUUUGUUCUCUAAAUAGGGACUUGUAUGAAUGGCCUCACGAGGGUUUAACUGUCUCUUACUUUUAAUCAGUGAAAUUGACACUCCCGUGAAGAGGCGGGAAUUAAAAAAUAAGACGAGAAGACCCUAUGGAGCUUCAAUUAAUUAACUCAUAAGUUAUAAUACUAAUCUAAAAGAGACAAAUCAAACUUGACUGAGUUAACAAUUUGGGUUGGGGCGACCUCGGAAUAAAAAUCAACUUCCGAGACAGAUCUACUAAGACCUACAAGUCAAAGUUAUCUUACCACAUAUUGAUCCGUCAAUGACGAUCAACGAAACAAGUUACCCUAGGGAUAACAGCGCAAUCCUAUUUAAGAGUCCAUAUCGACAAUUAGGGUUUACGACCUCGAUGUUGGAUCAGGACAUCCCAAUGGUGCAGCAGCUAUUAAUGUGUUCGUUUGUUCAACGAUUAAAGUCCUACGUGAUCUGAGU